Molecule: long non-coding RNA, 759 nt
Filed under: Homo sapiens (human)
Lineage: Eukaryota; Metazoa; Chordata; Mammalia; Primates; Hominidae
Description: HSALNT0244736
Source: RNAcentral
GGACCCUGAAAGACAACUCUCUGCAACUUUAAGAACAUGGACUGGGCUUGAAGGGGCAGUAAGGAAAGAAUGAUUCAUUUUGACUGUGAUUGCUGGGAAAGAUAUCUUGAAAUGGAGACUGUGAGUAGGUCCCUUCUUGCUCUAUUCUGAAGACAGCUCCUACGACACUAAUUCAAGGAUCAGUGGCUGGAUUCGAGAAAAAAUGGAAAACGGUUGUUGCAAGGGUGUCAACUGCUUGGAAUGCUGCCGGCAACCGGGUUCUGAGACUCCCUAGGCUUUCUGAAAGCAUCUGAAUGUCUGUCCAACUGCAAGCUACGUCAUGGAAACAGGACCGCCCUGAGGGGCUCUCCAAUAUGAAUGCCAGGGCUGCCAGAUUCCACAGACAAGAAUAAAGGGCAUCCAGUGAAUUCUGAAUUUCAGAGAAGCAGCAUUUUUUUCAUUAAAAGUGGAUGAAGUUUUGUGUUUGCUCUACUGACCUGAAGUGAGGAACAACCACAUACAUCUUUGUCUUCACUCUGUCCAGCUGUCAACUGCAUUGUUCCCUCACGUCUUCCUGCAAAGUACCAUUAUUUCCACACCUUAAGAAUUAAAGAGUGAAGAGAAAACGACAAAAUGUUCUUGUUUAUCAGGAGAUGGGGGUGAGCUGAGCUUUCCACAAGGUCCUGAAUGGAUGAGAAGGACCCAAAACAUAUGGAAAAUAUGGAGAAUAGGGUAUAAGUAAUAAAAAUAAAAAUAAAAUAAAUAAAAUAAAUUGGGAAU